CAGCACAGCGCUGACUUCACACCACACACCACUAGUUGAACAAAGAGAACGCUGUUCAACUAGACUAGGGGGGAGUAGCUGAUGAGGACUGUAAUUCCCAUCAGCGCUGUGCUUAGCAAUCUAAGCCUAUUUUACCUUAUUAUUACUAUUAUUAUUAUUAUUACAGAAACUAACAGCGCAGGUACGAUCGGAUAUCUUAGAUAAAAGAGUAAGAAAUCCACCUAAGUAGAUGGAGUGAAGAAUGAUUGCACACAGAAACCUUCCCACGCAGCCAAGGUGCCUUCCUACGCAGCCAAGUAGCUUUCCCGUGCAGCCGCGCAGCCAAACCAGAGCAGCGCAGCCGAGCUGCACAGCCAGACCAGAGCAGCGCAGCCGAGCUGCACAGCCAGACCAGAGCAGCGCAGACCAGAGUAGAGCAGCGCAGACCAAAGCAGAGCAGCGCGGCAGCGCUGUGCAGUCAGAGCAGCGCCACCAAAGUGUCUCUCCACGCAGCCACGUAUGAUGGUUCGGCUUGGGGAUUAAGAUCAUUGUAUUAUGUUUUGGGCUUAAAUUCAAUUAUUAGAGUUCGUGGGCCUAAGGCCUUUAGGGUUCAUUCUCACAGCUAUAAAUAUGAGCUUUAGCAUUAGCAUAAGGAUCAACUCAUUCAAACAACACACUUGUAAUAUGUAACUCUCUCUCAAAGUAUAGUGAAACGAAGGAAGAACAUCCCGUGGACGUAGGUCUUGAUGGCCGAACCACGUAAAUUCGUGUGUCAUUUAUCGCUUUCUAAUUUCUAGUUUAGGUGUUGGUGAUUCCGUGCUUCACCACUAUGGGCUCGCCACUUGGAUCGAUAUUCAGGGAAGUUUUUCUCUUUCACCCCUCUUUUUGCGAGCACUGAGGACAGUGCUAGAUUUUAAGUGUGGGUGUUUGUUGAUCCUAUGGGUUUUGUUGUGUUUUUGGGCUUUCUUGUGUGGGGCAAAUGGUCUCCUUUAUCUUGAUUGUUGCUUGGCUUCAAGUAAUAAUGCACACUUUGAUGAUUUGUUCACAAGUAAAUUUCAUGAAUUAUGUUGGCUUGGUUGCUAUCUUUGUCUCUCAGGCUAUGCAUAUUCCUCACUUGAUGUAAGUUGUUUAAUAUUUUGGAUGCAACACCCUUAUGAGCUAUUCUUGACGUGAUUUGUCCGGUAGAUGCUAGAGGGAGUGUUUUCAUUGUGAUAGCCUAUGAUCUUAUCCCUUGAGUUUGAAUGUUGGUUUGUUGUGAAGUUUUCUAUAGCUCUGGGUCUCUGCUCCUCUGACGGUAGUGUUAUGAGCAUGGAAAACCACGUGAGAACAUUUUGGAUUACCUCCAAAAGUGUUGAUCUCACGAAAGUUGGCCCAUCUAUUGAGAAUGGAAUAACAUCACCUUGAAAAGAAAGAUGUCUAAAAUUAUAUUUGGUUUGAUUGGUUAUCAUCUUCAAGAAAAAUGGGAUUUGAUUAUAAAGGCAAUCACAUUAGGAAAUUCACCUCUAGCGGAGAAUCGGGUCUGAUCGAAUUGAAUUGUAUCAUGUGGUUGUUUCUUCUUAAAAUCUUAACAAUGAACAUCUCAUGAGGAAUGUAAUGGCUAAGAGACUUUGAUUGGUUGGAGAUGUGAAUGGUGAGGAAGGUUUUCUUGCGAACUAUCAUUUGGUGUUGUGACUUUGCUUGAGGACAAGCAAAGGAUCAAGUGUGGGGGGGUUGUUUAGCCCUAUUUUGUGAUGAAUCUCUGGGUGUUUAUGUGUUAUAUUGACUUUUAUUUUGGUCUCUUUCACUUAAGAGUUGAAUGAUUUGAGCUUUUGUGCUAAUUUUGUUGUCUCAGGAUUUUGUGCUCACAUUGAUUGAUAUGUGAACAAAAGUAAAGUCAGAAUUUAGUUGAAUGGUCUGAAGAAGAAUCGAAGUUCGUCUCGAUACGAGUUCGUAGGCGAAAACGGAUCUAAAAUCCGACUUAAAACGAGGGAGAAUGAACCAAACAAAAAUGCUGCGCAUNUGUACCAUCUUAAGGGCCGCCCUGCGGGAGUGUAUCAUCUUUGUCAGUGCAGGUAGUGCAGCGCAGUCAGCGUGGGGUUGUCAGCGCAGUCGGUGCAGCGUAGUCAGCGCAAGGUUGUCAACGCAGAUCACUUGAGUCUUCCCAGCACAGGUUAUCUAAGCCCUUAUUAUCUUUAAUGAUGUUCGACGAAUCAAAAGGAAUAAUUGCUAUCUCUUUUAUCUCAGCUUAUUUCCAGCAUUAAAAUACUUUGUCUUUAUCAUUUUUGCAAAGAUUGACAGUUCUUGUCUAAAAAGUCGCAGGGAAUCGUGUAUGCUUAAUUGACACGGGAGAGCAGCACAGCGCUGACUUCACACCACACACCACUAGUUGAACAAAGAGAACGCUGUUCAACUAGACUAGGGGGGGUGUAGCUGAUGAGGACUGUAAUUCCCAUCAGCGCUGUGCUUAGCAAUCUAAGCCUAUUUUACCUUAUUAUUACUAUUAUUAUUAUUAUUACAGAAACUAACAGCGCAGGUACGAUCGGAUAUCUUAGAUAAAAGAGUAAGAAAUCCACCUAAGUAGAUGGAGUGAAGAAUGAUUGCACACA
RNAcentral lists this long non-coding RNA (2564 nucleotides) under Salvia miltiorrhiza (redroot sage). RNAcentral describes it as "long non-coding RNA (SMIL_LNC006639)". Lineage: Eukaryota; Viridiplantae; Streptophyta; Magnoliopsida; Lamiales; Lamiaceae. The record is from RNAcentral.